GGAUGUGAGGGCAAUCUGGCUGUGACAUCUGUCACCCCAUUGAUCUCCAGGAUUGAUUCGGCUGAUCUGGCUGGAUAGGCGGGUGUCCCCUUCCUCCCUCAAGGCUCCAUGUGCAUCCUUCCUGAAGUGGCGCACUUGGUCAAAGAGGACGACCACCCCUGAUAGAGGAGGACCAUUCCUCGGUCAAGGGCAUAUGAGUAGCUGUGUUCCCCUCCUGGAACCUCCAAACAAGAUGUCAGUCACCUGUCCCACCUCCUCCAAUCACUGAAUGCUAUGUCAGCACCCAGUGACAAAGCAGCAGAUGAUUAAUUGGAAAUACCUUGAGAAAAG
RNAcentral lists this small RNA (330 nucleotides) under Chinchilla lanigera (long-tailed chinchilla). RNAcentral describes it as "7SK RNA (ENSCLAG00000022152.1)". It matches the Rfam family "7SK RNA", at positions 1 to 258 of the family's 331-position model. From Rfam's summary of the family: 7SK was discovered as an abundant small nuclear RNA in the mid-70s but a possible function has only recently been suggested. Two independent studies have found that 7SK RNA binds the CDK9/cyclin T complex (known as elongation factor P-TEFb). P-TEFb activates transcription by phosphorylating the C-terminal domain of RNA polymerase II. Lineage: Eukaryota; Metazoa; Chordata; Mammalia; Rodentia; Chinchillidae. The record is from RNAcentral.